AGCAGCCGCGGUAUUCCAAUAGCGUAUAUUAAAGUUGUUGCAGUUAAAAAGCUCGUAGUUGAAUUUCGGGAUUGACACAUCGGUCGUGCCUUAAGGGGUAUGAACUGGUGUAGUCAAUUUCUCACCUUCUGGAGAACCGCGAUGCCCUUAAUUGGGUGUCGCGGGGAACCAGGACCUUUACUUUGAAAAAAUUAGAGUGUUUAAAGCAGGCAUUUUGCUUGAAUACAUUAGCAUGGAAUAAUAAAAUAGGACGGCAUGAUUCUAUUUUGUUGGUUUCUAGGAUCACCGUAAUGAUUAAUAGGGAUAGUUGGGGGCAUUAGUAUUCAAUUGUCAGAGGUGAAAUUCUUGGAUUUAUUGAAGACUAACUACUGCGAAAGCAUUUGCCAAGGAUGUUUUCAUUAAUCAAGAACGAAAGUUAGGGGAUCGAAGACGAUCAGAUACCGUCGUAGUCUUAACCAUAAACUAUGCCGACUAGGAAUCAGACGAUGUUAAAAAAAUGACGCGCUCGGCACCUCAUG
RNAcentral lists this ribosomal RNA (518 nucleotides) under uncultured Glomeromycotina. RNAcentral's name for it is "SSU rRNA". It matches the Rfam family "Eukaryotic small subunit ribosomal RNA", at positions 569 to 1092 of the family's 1831-position model. Lineage: Eukaryota; Fungi; Glomeromycota. The record is from RNAcentral.